Long non-coding RNA from Papaver somniferum (opium poppy), 1898 nucleotides. RefSeq lists it as uncharacterized. The transcript is spliced from 10 exons. The record is from RefSeq and is a predicted model, not a curated record. Lineage: Eukaryota; Viridiplantae; Streptophyta; Magnoliopsida; Ranunculales; Papaveraceae.
UCUUCUUUCUUUCUCCAGCAAAACCUAGCUCUACGUCCCACCACCACCACCACCACCGAUCUCUUCUCUUUCAUUCUCUCUAUACGAAAAGAUUGUUGAAUCUGUAUAUCUGAUCUUUCUCAAGUUGGAUAAGUUUUUCAAUCUCUCGAGGAGUCGUCUUCAUCAAACCUAUGAUAAUGGUAGAGAUGAUGCGCCACCUCAAUCAGAUGUUUAAAUGUGCAAGUUAAUUUCUUAAUCAAUGCCAGAAUUCUUCUUAAGGAUUAGGUUUUCAGAGUACAAGACUUCAUCAUGGUAAUUCAAAGGCACCAAAGAGUAGAAAACCCUAGCUCCCAAAAUCUUCAAAGCCAGCUAAAUAUGGUGGUGGUAAACAAAAGAAGUUCAAUUCAUGAUCCUCAAACUUAAAUAUAUAUACCUGUAUUUACAAUAUAGGUAACGUUAUGUUAAGAUAGGAAGUUGUGGGAAAUCUAAUCCUUUUAUUCUUAUGAAAGGGCUAUGGUAGGAAUGAAUACCUUGAUUUCUUUAGUGUUGCCUUGUUGAUUAAUAUUUCAACUUAGUUUGAAACCUUUUCUUUAUAAUUGUAUACUCUUUUAAUAGUUAAGUUUUGAAAAGGAUGGAGAGUCUAAUUUUUCAAAUAUCUUGUAUUUUGGUCGGCCAAUAGGUUUUGUGCCUGAACAAUAGGAUUCUGAUUACCACCAGUGCAGAUUCAGGUUGGAGGAUCACCAAUUUAUAAAGUUGAUAGGCUACUUGUUUGGUAGGUUAUUAAUCAAAUGUGGAAUGCUUAACCUUGUUGAUCUUGCUGGGUCUGAGAACAUUUCACAUUCUGGUGCAAGAGAGGUACCAUUAUUACUUAAGCCUAUUCAUUUGGUGUUGUGGUUACUUUUUACUUUGAUUGCUUCAUUUCAAGUAAGUACUGUCAUGCUCAUAUAGUUUCUUCCUAUUUACAUAGAAUGUUUUCAGAUCUCAGUGUUCAGUAAUCAUAUCUGUUUCGCAGAAGGAAGAGAAUUGGUUUGAACACCAGCAUGAUAUAAAAAUGCCAUUUGUUCCUGCUUCAGAAAAGAUAUUGAACUUCCACUAUCUUCUUUAAAAUGCCACUUGUUUCUGCUCUUAAUAAACUCAUCUUUGGUGAUUGACAUCCAAUAUUUUGCUGUUUGGAACCUUAUGAAUCUCUAAUUUGCCCUGUUUUUGUGGCCCAGGUUAUAACAGCUGUUCAAAAAAGUGGUGGUUGGUUUGCUUUCAAUUAUGAUGCUGUGGAAGUUGUUCUCUAGUCCUUCAUAACGCGUUCUGAAACGAUCUCUUUACAAUGACAUUAGGAGGUUUUUAAAAUGAGCUUCCAGCAUUAAUAAAAAUUUCUAUGCGUACCCUGCAAAAGCUAUCUUUCCAUACUGUCAAGCACUAGAGAAGUUCGCUCCCUAUAGUUGAUUUCCACUUUUCUCAUGUCAGGUUGGAAGUGGCCCCUCGCUGGAUCUAGAAGCUCGUUUGCUUCGAUUAAUGUAGAUCUUAUCUCACGUGCAAUGGGAUUCAAGACUAUACCUGGAUUUACCUUGCUGCUGGCAGGGCUUAGACUUUGAUUGUCAGCUGCAUCCGAUGCUGCCUGUAAUAAUCUACUCCUUUUGGUGCACUCAGCAUUAUUAUCAAGCACGAAAGAAGUUCAUUCCUCAAGUUGUGUACUCUUUCCUCUUCAGUUUUUGGGUUAAGUGUCAUAUUUUCUUGCAUUGCUGCACUUGCAAAACAUAGAAAUAUCUUAUGGAAAAGAAGUCCUUUUCAUUUCUAGUUUUACACUUUUGUUCAACAGUUUUGUUAAGUACAUUGCUUAGCUAAAUUUGGUUCUAGAACAGAGGUAUCUUGAUCUGUUGGAUUAAUUUGAUUUUUAAAUGAAUGAGAGUAACUUGUUUUUGUUA